This 484-nucleotide ribosomal RNA is filed under the name uncultured Rickettsiales bacterium. Its description in RNAcentral is "bacterial SSU rRNA". It matches the Rfam family "Bacterial small subunit ribosomal RNA", at positions 561 to 1050 of the family's 1533-position model. Lineage: Bacteria; Pseudomonadati; Pseudomonadota; Alphaproteobacteria; Rickettsiales. The record is from RNAcentral.
UAAAGCGCAUGUAGGCGGAACAGAAAGUUAGAAGUGAAAUCCCUGGGCUCAACCUAGGAAUUGCUUUUAAAACUUCUGUUCUGGAAUUCAGGAGAGGAAAAUGGAAUAUCCAGUGUAGAGGUGAAAUUCGUAGAUAUUGGAUGGAACACCAGUGGCGAAGGCGAUUUUCUGGACUGAUAUUGACGCUGAGAUGCGAAGGCAUGGGUAGCAAACGGGAUUAGAUACCCCGGUAGUCCAUGCAGUAAACGAUGGGUGCUAGUCGUCGGACUUAUGUUCAGUGGCGCAGCUAACGCUUUAAGUUGUCCGCCUGGGGAGUACGGCCGCAAGAUUAAAACUCAAAUGAAUUGACGGGGGACCCGCACAAGCGGUGGAGCAUGUGGUUUAAUUCGAUGCAACGCGAAAAACCUUACCUACUCUUGACAUACUUGGAAGCUCUUGUAAUGAGAGUGUGCUUUUAGAGCCAAGAUACAGGUGCUGCAUGGCU